UGCUGGUCCGAGUGCAGUGGUGUUUACAACCAAUUGAUCACAGCCAGUUACAGAUUUAUUUGUUCCUUCUCCACUUCCACUGCAUCUCCUGACUAGCCAAAA
Unclassified non-coding RNA from Pan paniscus (pygmy chimpanzee), 102 nucleotides. It matches the Rfam family "Y RNA". From Rfam's summary of the family: Y RNAs are components of the Ro ribonucleoprotein particle (Ro RNP), in association with Ro60 and La proteins. The Y RNAs and Ro60 and La proteins are well conserved, but the function of the Ro RNP is not known. NCBI's taxonomy places the organism in Eukaryota, Metazoa, Chordata, Mammalia, Primates, Hominidae. The record is from Ensembl.